CUACUCUGGUUUCUCUUCAGAUCAUGUAAAUCUUUCGCCUUUUACUAAAGAUUUUUGUGGAGAGAAACAAUUCUGAGUGCUUUAAUAAAAAAAUUUAAAUGUGUGAUUUAAAGGUCAAGA
This is a small nuclear RNA of Sorex fumeus (smoky shrew), 120 nucleotides long. RefSeq annotates it as U5 spliceosomal RNA. The record is from RefSeq and is a predicted model, not a curated record. The transcript has a single exon. NCBI's taxonomy places the organism in Eukaryota, Metazoa, Chordata, Mammalia, Eulipotyphla, Soricidae.